RNAcentral lists this unclassified non-coding RNA (296 nucleotides) under Punctularia atropurpurascens. Its description in RNAcentral is "partial contains 5.8S ribosomal RNA, internal transcribed spacer 2, and large subunit ribosomal RNA". The record is from RNAcentral. Lineage: Eukaryota; Fungi; Basidiomycota; Agaricomycetes; Corticiales; Punctulariaceae.
CGCACCUUGCGCUCCCUGGUAUUCCUAGGAGCAUGCCUGUUUGAGUGUCGUGAACAUAUCAACCCCAUAAGGAAUUUUCUUUAUGGUGGCUUGGACUUGGGGGUCUGCUGGCUAUUUAUUUUGGUCAGCUCCCCUUGAAUGCAUUAGCUAGACUUGUUCUAUGGGCUACAUGGUGUGAUAAUUAUCUACGCUUUGUGCUGUCUGUAGGAUAACUAUGAGUCUUGCUUCUAAUCGUCCUAUGGACAAUUACUUUACGUUUUGACCUCAAAUCAGGUAGGACUACCCGCUGAACUUAA